CAAUAAAGUUUUAUAAUUGUUAGGCUAACGUAAAUCAAUCUUUUGGUCCAAUAUUAAGAAAAGAAUUUAGUUAUGUUUAGAAAGAAUCAAAGAAGUGCAGAAAUUUUAUGGGCCCUUUUUUAUUAAAUAUUUUUUUUCUACAAAGGAUAUUUUUUUGGGUGAACUGCAAAACUAACCAGUUUCCAACACUAAAUUAAGAAAAUAGCACUAUAAUUCUAGAAAUUAAGAAACUAACACAUGAGAAUUGAGAAAUAUCCACUUUAUCCUCAUCUUGUUAAUAUAAGACCUUUUUUCCUUAAAAAAAGAGAGACCCCCAAGUUCUUUUUUUCUCUCCCAGGCACUACUUACGAGAUAACUAAAAACAGCAAAUGGUUUCAAAAAAAGUAGAUUUUGACCAUUUCUUUUAGCCAUUAUUGGUAAUUUUUGUUCUUCUUUGGUCGAAUCUUUCUUUUUCUCUGACGAUGCUCCCCUGUUUGUCUUUGUUUCUCCUCUCUUUUAUGCCUUCUCCAGUCCUCUCUUUUCUCUGCUCAGUGCCUCUUCUCAGCCUCUUCAUCCUUAAUUGAGUAGACCAAAUGAUGCUCUCACUCUGAAGACCUUCCUGCAUAAGCAGAGCAUCUGUUCCCCUGUUUUUCUAGCUCUAAGCUAAGAUAAUUUCUGGUGCUUCUGAAUAUCUAGAGAUCUCUCUUUUCUCUUUUUCUAGCACUAAGCUAAGCUCUUUUCAAAUUCAUUUGUUCACUCUUUAAACCUUCUCAUGGCAAAAUGAGUCAGGCCAAGUUGGUAUUGAGAUUCUCCUCCCAAGGAAGCACCUUUUGCUUUUGAACCUGAAGACGAUGAUGAUGUGGUGGUUCUUCCUCAGGUGGAUAAUUCUGCUUUGUUAGCCCGCCUCAAUCUCAGUCUAGUGGGACGCAUGUUUCAUCAAGGAGGCCGGAGUAUUGAAGCGCUUCUCUCCUUCUUACCCAAAGAGAACAUAUGGGAUGUUGAAGGAAGAGUUUGAGGUGUCUCUCUGAAUGAUUCUCGGUUUCAGUUUUUCUUUGAGACUGAAGCGGAUCUAAAGAAGGUCCUGAAUAAACGCCCAUGUCAUUUCGGUAAAUGGUCUUUUGCUCUCGAGAGAUGGGAACCUAAUCUUAGAGCUGCUUUCCCAAACUCAAUGACGUUUUGGACCAGAACGGAAGGAAUACCUCCAGAAUUUUGGGAAGAGCAGAUCUUAACAAUAAAGUGGCCACUCUAGAAGAUCUGUUUCUCCAGCUAGUGAUAGAAGAAUAAAGGGGAAUAUCUAAUUCAUUCUGAGAUACUUGUUACGCUGGUAAUAGACAGUACCAUCAGAGGUCCCCUCCCCCUCCUCUCCGUUAUCAAGUUCCCCGUAACUCACAUUUCUCUCGGGCCACUAACGCUGCAAGACGUCCUUCUGGAUCCGGUAAUAUUAAAGAGAGAAUUGUUGAGGAUGGGAGAAAACGUCAAUUUGAGGAAUCCUUUUCCCAAGAUAAGAAUGGUGAACCCUCUAAUAAAGAUCGUUAUUACCAUUCCCGUUUUAAACCUACCUCUUCACAUCGUUCCAGAGAGAAACAAGGAAUGGAACUGAACAGUUCACACUUAUCUGACUCUCAACUUACAACCUCGAAGCCUCUUGUUGCUUCCUCAAGAGCCAAGCAAGGAAAUUCAUCCCCUGCUCUUGUGCGAGAAAGACUGUUUCGCUUGAACUUGUCAAAAAAGGCCAUUCUCUCGGAUGAAGACAAGGGCAAGGAGAUUGAUUUACCUCGUCAUUCCCCAGUGAUUUCUUCUGAAACUGGAAGCUCUGCAAAUAAAUCCUUGACUUUUGACCGCCUUAAUCCACGAGAGGAUGAACCCAUCUCUGCAACAAAUCUCGGCUCUGUGCCUUUGUGUUCUCAGUUGGAGAAAAGAAAGAGUUGGUACGAGAUGACCUUGGAAGAAGAAGCAGAAGAUCAAGACGAAGAUGAGGACACUCCUGAAGAAAACCCUGAAUCUGAGCCUGCAAAUUCUCUGGCGGUGAAGUUCUCUAAAUCAAUAAACUUUACUAGUCCUGCAAAUCUUUCUAACCUCCCAGUGACGAUAACGGCGACUCACGACGCUGAGGAUGGUUGGGUUGAUAACCACCAUUUGAUGUCGGAGGCCCUUAAUCUGGACUGGACGGUGGAGGAUGACGAAGCGUACCACGCUCUUGAACCUUCCCUCCCUGGAGAUACUGAAGAUUUCGAUGUUGAAAAUGAUGAUCUUCUAGGAGAAGAUCUUUAGGAAAGCAUACCUUUAGAUGCGAAGCUGCAAUCUGAGACUGAAUCUCUACCGGAGCUCAAGUCAAUUUGAACUCGCCUACGAUGGUGAAGAAGCUGUCCGAGUCCGUAGCGACUCAAAAUUUUGGCUGUUUGAUGGAUCAAGGCCCAUCCAACUCUAAGUCCAAAAAGAAAGAUUUAAAAAAGGAAGAGAUGGGCCAAAACCGGAAGGUGCAGCCCAAUCCAGCUCUCUUGCUUAAUUCAAAACAACAGGGGGCGUUCUCCUAGCAAGAGGAUUUCUAAUCGAGUCAACAAGCCCAAGACAUCUAGACCAAAAAAUCGUAGGCGAGCUGCUUCGGUUCCACAACUUCAAAUGUUACCAUCCACAAAGAUCAAGCUUUCAGAGUCAACUGUUAUUUCUGUGGGGUCUACAACCUCUACCGAAACUAACACAUGAUGAUUUUAGCAUGGAAUUGUCAACGGGCGGGUGCUGAUCUUACAACUCGUCGACUAGAGGAGAUGUGUCGUAUGUAUUCCCUAGGUUUUCUUUUUUAUCGGAAACCAAAAAUGACCUUAGUCAUAUUCAGGGUUUGCAAGUGUCAUUAGUUUUUGAUUCUUUUUAUAUUGUUGAGCCGAUUGGCAGCAGUGGCGGUCUUGCCCUUAUGUAAUCGAAAGAUUAUCUGGUUAAGUUUGUUUUUGUUAGUGACCGGCUUAUUGAUAUUGAAAUUAUUAUUGAUGGAAAUCGAGUUUUUAUUACCUUUGUGUAUGGACAUCCGGUAAUCCAAUACCGAGAAUUAGUUUGGGAACGUUUGACUCGAAUAGGUAUCACCCGUUCGAAACCAUGGUUUAUGAUUGGUGAUUUUAUUGAGAUUAUUGGAAACCACGAAAAAAGGGAGAUAAAAGUAGAUAUGAAUCUUCUUUUCUCCCAUUCCGAUGCAUGAUUGAAAAUUGUGGGAUGAUCGAGGUGCCCUCUCACGGUAAUUUGUUCUCAUGGGUGGGACACCGUAGCUGUGGAGUUACGAGGCGGCGUGUCCGUCGAGUCAUUAAAUCUCGGUUAGAUAGAGCUUUGGGCAAUGAAGAAUGGCAUACCAUUUUUUCCCACUCAAAUGUGGAGUAUCUAAAAUUAUGGGGUUCCGACCAUAGACCCCUUUUAGCUUCAAUUCAGAAUAGCCCCCAUCGCCUUUUCAAACCAUUUAUUUUUUUUUAUAAAAGAUGGCUUAGCAAACCGGGCUUUAAGGAGUCGGUUCAUGGAGGUUGUGAGGUCCCUCCUCAAGGAGGAGUUAUUUUUUUCUC
RNAcentral lists this small RNA (3518 nucleotides) under Arabidopsis thaliana (thale cress). RNAcentral describes it as "ATSL042960". The record is from RNAcentral. Lineage: Eukaryota; Viridiplantae; Streptophyta; Magnoliopsida; Brassicales; Brassicaceae.